Pelobates cultripes (western spadefoot toad) is the source of this 205-nucleotide non-coding RNA. The record is from the annotation of a GenBank genome assembly. NCBI's taxonomy places the organism in Eukaryota, Metazoa, Chordata, Amphibia, Anura, Pelobatidae.
UCCAUCUCAGACACAACAUGAGUGCAGAAUAUCAGGAAUGUGGUCCAAGGCAGACUCAUUGGAGAAGAAAAAUCGCAAGGUAUUGGCUUACAUGGGAGCUUGAUAAACUUGAUACAGCUUGAUUAAAGAUCCUGUUAGCUGAAAUGUUGUAAUUGUUCUCCUAUAAAUCUGCUUUGGACUACAUUCCUGACUUAGUGCACAGUCC